This 805-nucleotide ribosomal RNA is filed under the name uncultured bacterium. RNAcentral describes it as "bacterial SSU rRNA". It matches the Rfam family "Bacterial small subunit ribosomal RNA", at positions 8 to 802 of the family's 1533-position model. The record is from RNAcentral.
AGAGUUUGAUCCUGGCUCAGAUUGAACGCUGGCGGCAUGCUUUACACAUGCAAGUCGGACGGCAGCACAGAGAAGCUUGCUUCUUGGGUGGCGAGUGGCGAACGGGUGAGUAAUAUAUCGGAACGUACCGAGUAAUGGGGGAUAACUAAUCGAAAGAUUAGCUAAUACCGCAUAUUCUCUGAGGAGGAAAGCAGGGGACCUUCGGGCCUUGCGUUAUUCGAGCGGCCGAUAUCUGAUUAGCUAGUUGGUGGGGUAAAGGCCUACCAAGGCGACGAUCAGUAGCGGGUCUGAGAGGAUGAUCCGCCACACUGGGACUGAGACACGGCCCAGACUCCUACGGGAGGCAGCAGUGGGGAAUUUUGGACAAUGGGCGCAAGCCUGAUCCAGCCAUGCCGCGUGUCUGAAGAAGGCCUUCGGGUUGUAAAGGACUUUUGUCAGGGAAGAAAAGGCUGUUGCUAAUAUCGACAGCUGAUGACGGUACCUGAAGAAUAAGCACCGGCUAACUACGUGCCAGCAGCCGCGGUAAUACGUAGGGUGCGAGCGUUAAUCGGAAUUACUGGGCGUAAAGCGAGCGCAGACGGUUACUUAAGCAGGAUGUGAAAUCCCCGGGCUCAACCUGGGAACUGCGUUCUGAACUGGGUGACUAGAGUGUGUCAGAGGGAGGUAGAAUUCCACGUGUAGCAGUGAAAUGCGUAGAGAUGUGGAGGAAUACCGAUGGCGAAGGCAGCCUCCUGGGAUAACACUGACGUUCAUGCUCGAAAGCGUGGGUAGCAAACAAGAUUAGAUACCCUGGUAGUCCACGCCC